RNAcentral lists this ribosomal RNA (468 nucleotides) under uncultured bacterium. RNAcentral's name for it is "partial 16S ribosomal RNA". It matches the Rfam family "Bacterial small subunit ribosomal RNA", at positions 28 to 507 of the family's 1533-position model. The record is from RNAcentral.
GACGAACGCUGGCGGCGUGCUUAACACAUGCAAGUCGAACGGAAAGGCCCUGCUUUUGUGGGGUGCUCGAGUGGCGAACGGGGGAGUAACACGUGAGUAACCUGCCCUUGAAUUUGGGAUAACUCCAGGAAACUGGGGCUAAUACCGGAUAGGAUCUCCUGCAGCGCGGUGUGGGUUGGAAAGUUUCGGCGUUGCGGGCUGGACUGGAAGCUUAUCAGCUUGUUGGUCGGGUAGUGGCUUACCAAGGCUUUGACGGGUAGCCGGCCUUGGAGGGUGACCGGCCACAUUGGGACUGAGGUACGGCCCAGUAGGCAACGUGCGGCAACAGGGGGAAGUAUUACGCAGUGACGGGAAGCCAGAUGCAGCGGCGCUGCGUGCGUGAUACCGGCCUUCUGGUUGUAAACCGCUGUCGACUGUGACGAGGCGAGAGUGACGGUAAUGGAUAAGGAAGCACCGGCUAACUACGUG